GGCGAAGUCACUGAUUCCAUGCUCCCAAGAAAAUCUUCUAGCGAGUUGACACGGUGCCCGUACCCCAAACCGACACAGGUGGGCGGGUAGAGAAUACCAAGGCGAUCGGGAGAACUGUAGUUAAGGAACUCGGCAAAAUGCAUCCGUAACUUCGGGAGAAGGAUGGCCUUAUUAGCGUGAAGGACUUCGCGUCCGGAGCGUGAAAAGGUCGCAGAGAAUUGUGGGAAGCGACUGUUUACCAAAAACACAGGAGCGUGCUAAGUCGUAAGACGCCGUAUACGCUCUGACGCCUGCCCGGUGCUGGAAGGUUACGGGGAUCGGUUAGCUUUCGAGCGAAGCUGAGAACCUAAGCCCCAGUAAACGGCGGCCGUAACUAUAACGGUCCUAAGGUAGCGAAAUUCCUUGUCGGGUAAGUUCCGACCUGCACGAAUGGCGUAACGACUUCCCAACUGUCUCAACCACAGACCCGGCGAAAUUGAAGUACGAGUAAAGAUGCUCGUUAGCUGCAUCAGGACGGAAAGACCCCGUGCACCUUUACUACAACUUGAUGUUGGGUUUUGGUUCAGUUUGUGUAGGAUAGGUGGGAGGCUUUGAAGCAUCGGCGCUAGUCGGUGUGGAGCCAACGUUGAAAUACCACCCUUUCUGCACCGGAACCCUAACCUUGGUCCGUGAUCCGGAUCAGGAACAGCGUCAGGCGGGUAGUUUGACUGGGGCGGUCGCCUCCUAAAAUGUAACGGAGGCGCCCAAAGGUUCCCUCAGGCUGGUUGGCAAUCAGCUGUUGAGUGCAAUGACACAAGGGAGCUUGACUGCGAGACUUACAGGUCGAGCAGGUACGAAAGUAGGGCAUAGUGAUCCGGCGGUUGCUUGUGGAAGCGCCGUCGCUCAACGGAUAAAAGGUACCCCGGGGAUAACAGGCUCAUCUUCCCCAAGAGUCCAUAUCGACGGGAAGGUUUGGCACCUCGAUGUCGGCUCGUCGCAUCCUGGGGCUGAAGCCGGUCCCAAGGGUUGGGCUGUUCGCCCAUUAAAGCGGUACGCGAGCUGGGUUCAGAACGUCGUGAGACAGUUCGGUCCCUAUCCGAUGCAGCCGUAAGUGAAUUGAGAAAGGUUGUCCCUAGUACGAGAGGACCGGGACGAACGCAGCUCUCGUGUGACAGUUGUCCUGCCAAGGGCAUGGCUGUUUUGCGACCUGCGGGUGGGAUAAGCGCUGAAAGCAUCUAAGUGCGAAGCCCGUUUCAAGAUAAAUUCACUCACUGGGUUAACCAGGUAAGGCCCGUGGCCAGACGACCACGUUGAUAGGCCGGAAGUGUAAGUGCGGUAACGCAUUCAGCUGACCGGUACUAAUCGGCCGAGGGCUUGGAGUU
Molecule: ribosomal RNA, 1361 nt
Filed under: soil metagenome
Description: bacterial LSU rRNA
Rfam family: Bacterial large subunit ribosomal RNA
Source: RNAcentral